RNAcentral lists this ribosomal RNA (497 nucleotides) under uncultured bacterium. RNAcentral describes it as "partial 16S ribosomal RNA". It matches the Rfam family "Bacterial small subunit ribosomal RNA", at positions 28 to 507 of the family's 1533-position model. The record is from RNAcentral.
GAUGAACGCUGGCGGCGUGCCUAAUACAUGCAAGUCGAGCGAACAGAUGAGGAGCUUGCUCCUCUGACGUUAGCGGCGGACGGGUGAGUAACACGUGGAUAACCUACCUAUAAGACUGGGAUAACUUCGGGAAACCGGAGCUAAUACCGGAUAAUAUAUUGAACCGCAUGGUUCAAUAGUGAAAGACGGUUUUGCUGUCACUUAUAGAUGGAUCCGCGCCGCAUUAGUUAGUUGGUAAGGUAACGGCUUACCAAGGCGGCGAUGCGUAGCCGACCUGAGAGUGUGAUCGGCCACACGGGAACUGAGACACGGUCCAGACUCCUACGGUAGGCAGCAGUAGGGAAUCUUCCGCAAUGGGCGAAAGCCUGACGGAGCAACGCCGCGUGAGUGAUGAAGGUCUUCGGAUCGUAAAACUCUGUUAUUAGGGAAGAACAAAUGUGUAAGUAACUAUGCACGUCUUGACGGUACCUAAUCAGAAAGCAACGGCUAACUACGUG